GAUGAACGCUGGCGGCGUGCUUAACACAUGCAAGUCGAACGGAAAGGCCCAAGCUUGCUUGGGUACUCGAGUGGCGAACGGGUGAGUAACACGUGGGUGAUCUGCCCUGCACUUCGGGAUAAGCCUGGGAAACUGGGUCUAAUACUGGAUAGGACCACUUCUUGGAUGGUGUGGUGGAAAGUUUUUUCGGUGUGGGAUGAGCUCGCGGCCUAUCAGCUUGUUGGUGGGGUAAUGGCCUACCAAGGCGUCGACGGGUAGCCGGCCUGAGAGGGUGUACGGCCACAUUGGGACUGAGAGACGGCCCAGACUCCUACGGGAGGAAGCAGUGGGGAAUAUUGCACAAUGGGCGCAAGCCUGAUGAAGCGACGCCGCGUGGGGGAUGACGGCCUUCGGGUUGAAAACUCCUUUCGCUAGGGACGAAGCGUUUUGUGACGGUACCUGGAGAAGAAGCACCGGCUAACUACGUG
This 467-nucleotide ribosomal RNA is filed under the name uncultured bacterium. RNAcentral's name for it is "partial 16S ribosomal RNA". It matches the Rfam family "Bacterial small subunit ribosomal RNA", at positions 28 to 507 of the family's 1533-position model. The record is from RNAcentral.